RNAcentral lists this ribosomal RNA (497 nucleotides) under uncultured bacterium. RNAcentral's name for it is "partial 16S ribosomal RNA". It matches the Rfam family "Bacterial small subunit ribosomal RNA", at positions 28 to 508 of the family's 1533-position model. The record is from RNAcentral.
GAUGAACGCUGGCGGCGUGCCUAAUACAUGCAAGUCGAGCGAACAGACGAGGAGCUUGCUCCUCUGACGUUAGCGGCGGACGGGUGAGUAAAACGUGGAUAACCUACCUAUAAGACUGGGAUAACUUCGGGAAACCGGAGCUAAUACCGGAUAAUAUAUUGAACCGCAUGGUUCAAUAGUGAAAGACGGUUUUGCUGUCACUUAUAGAUGGAUCCGCGCCGCAUUAGCUAGUUGGUAAGGUAACGGCUUACCAAGGCAACGAUGCGUAGCCGCCCUGAGAGGUGGAGGGGCAACACGGGAGAUGGGACAGGGCCGGGCCCCCGCGGGGGGGCAGCAGGCGGAAUUCUUCAGAAAGGGGCGAAGCCCGAAGGGAGCAGCGCCGGGGGAGUAAGAAAGUUUUUCGGAUCUAAAAACUUUUUUAUGGGGAAAAAAAAAAGUUGAAAGAAACUUGGCCCGUUUGGAGGUUCCAUAAUAAGAAGCCCAGGACAAACUAGGGC